RNAcentral lists this ribosomal RNA (253 nucleotides) under uncultured bacterium. RNAcentral describes it as "partial 16S ribosomal RNA". It matches the Rfam family "Bacterial small subunit ribosomal RNA", at positions 524 to 776 of the family's 1533-position model. The record is from RNAcentral.
UACGUAGGGUGCGAGCGUUAAUCGGAAUUACUGGGCGUAAAGCGUGCGCAGGCGGUUUUGUAAGCCAGAUGUGAAAUCCCCGGGCUUAACCUGGGAAUGGCAAUGGAGACUGCAAGGCUAGAGUUUGGCAGAGGGGGGUAGAAUUCCACGUGUAGCAGUGAAAUGCGUAGAGAUGUGGAGGAACACCGAUGGCGAAGGCAGCCCCCUGGGUCAAAACUGACGCUCAUGCACGAAAGCGUGGGGAGCGAACAGG